RNAcentral lists this unclassified non-coding RNA (595 nucleotides) under Aspergillus latus. RNAcentral's name for it is "partial contains ITS1, 5.8S rRNA and ITS2". The stretch from base 211 to 365 matches the Rfam family "5.8S ribosomal RNA". The record is from RNAcentral. Lineage: Eukaryota; Fungi; Ascomycota; Eurotiomycetes; Eurotiales; Aspergillaceae.
UGGAAGUAAAAAGUCGUAACAAGGUUUCCGUAGGUGAACCUGCGGAAGGAUCAUUACCGAGUGCGGGCUGCCUCCGGGCGCCCAACCUCCCACCCGUGACUACCUAACACUGUUGCUUCGGCGGGGAGCCCCCUAGGGGCGAGCCGCCGGGGACCACUGAACUUCAUGCCUGAGAGUGAUGCAGUCUGAGCCUGAAUACAAAUCAGUCAAAACUUUCAACAAUGGAUCUCUUGGUUCCGGCAUCGAUGAAGAACGCAGCGAACUGCGAUAAGUAAUGUGAAUUGCAAGAAUUCAGUGAAUCAUCGAGUCUUUGAACGCACAUUGCGCCCCCUGGCAUUCCGGGGGGCAUGCCUGUCCGAGCGUCAUUGCUGCCCUCAAGCCCGGCUUGUGUGUUGGGUCGUCGUCCCCCCCGGGGGACGGGCCCGAAAGGCAGCGGCGGCACCGUGUCCGGUCCUCGAGCGUAUGGGGCUUUGUCACCCGCUCGAUUAGGGCCGGCCGGGCGCCAGCCGGCGUCUCCAACCUUAUUUUUCUCAGGUUGACCUCGGAUCAGGUAGGGAUACCCGCUGAACUUAAGCAUAUCAAUAAGCGGGAGGAA